This is a small nucleolar RNA of Acomys russatus (golden spiny mouse), 141 nucleotides long. RefSeq annotates it as small nucleolar RNA SNORA48. The record is from RefSeq and is a predicted model, not a curated record. The transcript has a single exon. Lineage: Eukaryota; Metazoa; Chordata; Mammalia; Rodentia; Muridae.
CCCCUCUGGCAAUAGGCAAAGGCACAUCUUGUUGGUGGUGUUCUUAUAUCAGUCAGGGACAGAGCAUAUGGCAGUCCUUUGUUCAUUCAAGCUUGAUGCCUGUCUUGAUGGCCAAAACUGUCUUAUGCCUAGGACUCAUAU